RNAcentral lists this ribosomal RNA (396 nucleotides) under uncultured bacterium. Its description in RNAcentral is "bacterial SSU rRNA". It matches the Rfam family "Bacterial small subunit ribosomal RNA", at positions 28 to 429 of the family's 1533-position model. The record is from RNAcentral.
GACGAACGCUGGCGGCGUGCUUAACACAUGCAAGUCGAGCGGUAAGGCCCUUUCGGGGGUACACGAGCGGCGAACGGGUGAGUAACACGUGGGUGACCUGCCCUCAGCUCUGGGAUAAGCCCGGGAAACUGGGUCUAAUACCGGAUAUGACUCCACGGUGCAUGUCGUGGGGUGGAAAGCCUUGUGCGGCUGAGGAUGGGCCCGCGGCCUAUCAGCUUGUUGGUGGGGUGAUGGCCUACCAAGGCGACGACGGGUAGCCGGCCUGAGAGGGCGACCGGCCACACUGGGACUGAGACACGGCCCAGACUCCUACGGGAGGCAGCAGUGGGGAAUCUUGCGCAAUGGGCGAAAGCCUGACGCAGCGACGCCGCGUGAGGGAUGACGGCCUGGUGUAAC